AAAAGCCUAUUACUGUAGAAAUACAAAACGGCAAUAUAAACUAUUACUCCUAAAGGCAUUAUAAAAUCCAAAUAGCAUAGACUAAAGUUCUCAUAGUACAAAUAACACAUCCAUUUCAAAGUGGCCACAAUGUAACAUUUCCUUGUUAACACUUGAUUUCUUUGAGCCCGUAUGCAAAGUACAGAAAGGUUGGAUCAGUAGCACCUUCCUUGUAGUAUGCAAAUACCA
RNAcentral lists this unclassified non-coding RNA (228 nucleotides) under Hevea brasiliensis (rubber tree). Lineage: Eukaryota; Viridiplantae; Streptophyta; Magnoliopsida; Malpighiales; Euphorbiaceae. The record is from RNAcentral.